RNAcentral lists this ribosomal RNA (422 nucleotides) under uncultured bacterium. RNAcentral describes it as "bacterial SSU rRNA". It matches the Rfam family "Bacterial small subunit ribosomal RNA", at positions 355 to 774 of the family's 1533-position model. The record is from RNAcentral.
UGAGGAAUAUUGGGCAAUGCCCGCAAGGGUGACCCAGCAACGCCGCGUGGAGGAUGAAUGUCGUAAGAUUGUAAACUCCUGUUAGAGGGGAAGAAUAGUACCGGUUGGACCGGUAUAUGACUGUACCCUCAGAGAAAGCCCCGGCUAACUACGUGCCAGCAGCCGCGGUAAUACGUAGGGGGCAAGCGUUGUCCGGAUUUACUGGGUGUAAAGGGCGCGCAGGCGGGAUAAAAAGUCAGUGGUGAAAUCCGACAGCUUAACUGUAGAACUGCCUUUGAUACUUUUAUUCUUGAGUUCGGGAGAGAGAGACGGAAUUCCAGGUGUAGUGGUGAAAUACGUAGAUAUCUGGAAGAACACCAGUUGCGAAGGCGGUCUCUUGGUCCGACACUGACGCUGAGGCGCGAAAGCGUGGGGAGCAAACA